Lathyrus oleraceus (garden pea) is the source of this 142-nucleotide small nucleolar RNA. RefSeq annotates it as small nucleolar RNA snoR135. The record is from RefSeq and is a predicted model, not a curated record. The transcript has a single exon. NCBI's taxonomy places the organism in Eukaryota, Viridiplantae, Streptophyta, Magnoliopsida, Fabales, Fabaceae.
UAAGCAAGUUUAAUGUGUAUAUGUGUUAUGUUACGAUUACUGCACUCUUUCGAAAGUAUUUCCAUGCGAUAUCAAUAUGAGAGAAUGGGCAGUUGUGUUUCAUUUCAUGUUGAAAAUCACAAAAAUCAUUUUCUUUACAUCU